Oncorhynchus masou masou (cherry salmon) is the source of this 1783-nucleotide long non-coding RNA. RefSeq lists it as uncharacterized. NCBI's taxonomy places the organism in Eukaryota, Metazoa, Chordata, Actinopteri, Salmoniformes, Salmonidae. The record is from RefSeq and is a predicted model, not a curated record. The transcript is spliced from 4 exons.
AGUACAAUUAGCAACAUAACCACCCCUAGUCCUGAAGACCAUAACAGUACAAUUAGCAACAUAACCACCCCUAGUCCUGAAGACCAUAACAGUACAAUUAGCAACAUAACCACCCUAGUCCUGAAGACCAUAACAGUACAAUUAGCAACAUAACCACCCCUAGUCCUGAAGACCAUAACAUUACAAUAAGCAACAUAACCAACCCUGCUCCUGGAGACCAUAACAUUACAAUUAGCAACAUAACCAGCCCUAUUCCUGGAGACCAUAACAAUACAAUUAGCAACACAACUAACCCUAUUACCCCUAAAAAUCCUCCCCAGACCAUUAGCACGACUGUCUUUCAUAAAACCUUUCUAUCAACAACUACCUCGGGCCAAUCUAACCCCCCAGUUGCCCCUACUGAGAGAGCAACAAGCAGGUAUCAGGAUGCCACGGACGAAACAAUCAGUCAUAAGAACCCAGAGAAUUCGGAGGCAACCCAUAAGACCACAGAGCAUGCUACAGCUGUAGUUGCUGGGGGCGGAGAGGGAGUCCCAGGAUGGGGGAUCGCUCUAUUGGUACUGGCUGCCCUGAUCUUGUUAAUCCUCCUUAUUCUCCUAAUACUGCUGCUAGUGUGGUUGUGCUGUAGGCAAAGAUAUGGAAGCUUCAGCCCAUAUAACCAAAUCAACCACGGGGCAGACAUCCAAAUGUACUCCACACACAGCCGCUUCAACGUGCCCAACGGCAAGCCUAAUGACGAAAUGGGAGAACCAUCGAAAAACCAAACAGGGAUGUAUGUGGUGAACGAGUACUGACACAAAGAAGCUUCAGUCAAUUGGGUAAGAAGACCAUCUGAAAUGGCCUUAUGAAGUCAUAUGCAUGGGAGCAAUGACAAUUCUGUACAAAUGGUUCAAUUAUCUCUGAAGUAUCUGAAUGAAGAUCAUGGCGUUGGCUCACUGAUUGUAAUUUCAACCUGUAUUUAUUCAAAUCACAUUUAUAAAGCCCUUUUUACAUCAGCCGAUGUCACAAAGUGCUAUACAGAAACCCAGCCUAAAACCCCAAGCAGCAAGCAAUGCAGAUGUCCUAAUGUUAUUCUAUUCCUAAUGCUUUUACCAGUGGAGGCUGCUGAGAGGAGGACAGCUCAUAAUAAUAGCUGGAAUGGAGUCAAUGGAGUGGUAUCAACCACAUCAAACACCUGGUUUCCAUGUAGUUGUUACCAUUCCAUUCUAUUAUUCUGUAGGUAAAUCUGAGACACUCCAUUUAGUAUAUGUUACUCCUCCCUGACCAACCUCCCUACUUUAGUUUCUGUCUAAAGUAACUAGGCCAUUAAAAUGUACCAUGUGUCUUGACGUGUUCAGAAAUACGUAAAGUACGUUUUGAAUGGCUCUGAGGCCAGGAUGGCCAUUUUGGCUUCAUUGUGGCAAUAAUUUGAGUUGUAUUUUCAGUCUUUACUGAAGGCAAGCUUAACCUUGGUAAAAAAAGAAAGAAAGCUGAUCCUAGAUCAGUAAAUGGGAUCAACAUAUGUAUCCUGCAAUUAACAUGUAAGAAGAAUGAGUAGGGGUGCAAUACCCAAUCAGGUACAGUUAACAAGAAGUUCAUUGUUUUAAAAGACUAUAAAUCAAACCUUUUGACUUGGGCUGAGAGAUCCAGAUCUAAUUCCCUACUGCUGGAUAAGACAUGUUUUGAGAUAGGAUGCUAGCAAGCCAAACAGUUAACUAUUCCACAAACACAACCCAGUGAGUUAAACACCAAUGUUAUGUAUAUUUGACAAUCUGAUUAAAUAAAUCCACCAUUAUUAAUCAAA